This 2347-nucleotide long non-coding RNA is filed under the name Homo sapiens (human). RNAcentral describes it as "HSALNT0133034". Lineage: Eukaryota; Metazoa; Chordata; Mammalia; Primates; Hominidae. The record is from RNAcentral.
GAAUCUGACUGGAGAUCACUGACUUCCUCUGAACUUCCUGCCUGCCGGCAUCCAUUGAGGAAGAGUAUCAACCCCAAUUUUAAAUAGGCCAAGGAAGAAAUCUCAGUAUCUUUCUUGGAAAUUUUCUCCUUGACACAGUAUAUAUACAGCCCUUGGCACAGUGAUUGGCACUCAAUCGGGCGAGAUAUAAAAAUGGGUAUUCAGCAUAAAUUUCUCUGGAAAAUGUCCUUCCACUGGGAAAAUGAAGGCAAUCGCCACACAGCCCGAAUCCCUCAUGGAUUCAUCCUUGGUUUCUCUUCCUUCAGGGCGCUUUUGUGCAGUUCUUUAAAGACAAUUAAUAAAAGUAGUUAAUCACACAAAACUGUGACAUAUACAGUCAGUCUUAAACUUGAUAUUGUAGAUGAUCAGAAAUAAAAAUAAUACCAGUUAUAACCAUUGCAUCAAUUUUGGUCAUUUAUUAGUGUUCAAUUAGUUUUUUUGCAGAUUGGUGGCUAUUUUACAGGUUGAAAAGUUAUCCACAUCGCUUCUUGGCCUUUUGGCUAAGAUCAAGUGUGAAAAGUGAUCAGCAAGGUAGUGUAAAUGAUUUCCUAAAUGCCUGUAUUGCAGUGGAUCUUUGCGUUAUGUGAGGUUUCAGUGCUUUUUCACAUAUAACUUUUGGAAGUCUGUUCGAGAGAUUUCCAGAAAGAGUUCUCAGUCAAGCGUUGGUUGAAACAGGAUGGUGACGGCUGUCCUUUUAACCUCUACCACAUUCGGUUUUUAAAACAAUGUCUCCCAUCACACAGCAAUGCUGAAGUAAUUAUCAAAACUUUCCCAGACUGUUCUUGGACACCCUGGUUAAUGUCCUGUGAGUUAUGGGUUACGAGAUAAAGAAAAGCAAAUAGGUCCUCUAGGCAGAACUGAGACUGAAUAUGCUAAUAUUUAUUGCACGGUUCCAAGAAAUAGCAGCUCUCAUCCUUCUGACUUCACAAACCAGUAAAAAAGAAUGUAUAUCUUUAGAGAACUCAGGGUUACAAACUUUUUUAUUUUACCAAACAAGAACAUACAUUAGAGAAAAGGACAUGAAGGUUUAAGGAACAAUUUAAGGCUGAAAAAAAUGGUGAAGUCCCCAUCCUGUCCUUUUCUUUCCUAUUUUGCCACAGGCUGGCACCUGCCCUCCGCUGGUCAUUCAGGAACUGCGGGGGCUCCUGGUGCUCAAGCGCCCUUGAUCUUGGCUUCAGGUCUGCAGGACACACCGACCGUCACCACUGCUGAGUCAAGAAGGGGGUCUCCCCUCACUCCCUUCCCCACAUUCCUACUGAUUCACUCCCACUGAUGACUGGGUAGAAAAGUUGCAGAACACUGAUUUAGAUCAUCGUAUUGAUACGAUCUUCUUCUUCAUUUCCUUUCCUUUAAUUCACGUGGAUUUUUUAAACAAAAUUUACUUAGUAAAAUUCCUUCACAGUACAAAGCUCUUUUAUUUGGACAAAGUUGGCUCCAGGCACCGAAAAGCUUGAUAUUCAUUUCCAGCCACCCCAACCUCAAGCACUUGGUAAUUACAGCCAAAAGAUCAGCAACUCUCACUGGGGAAAUACAUGGACCCUGUUUACAACAUUUUCAUACAUGGAACACAAACAUAUACAAGCAGCUUCUGCGAAUACUUAUACAUUACAUGAAAAGCAAAAAUAGUAUCAUGCUUUAAACUGUUUCUCAAAAAAUAAUUUCAAACGACAAGCUUUUAAAUAAUUAGGCCACUUAAUUUUUAUUACACCAAGAGUCAGAAAAUGAUUGCAGACUACAUCCUUUUACACAAAACACAUUUGUAGGGUUUCUAAAAAGCUACAUACAUAAAGGAAAAAUUUUAGAAUAAUAUCCUACUUUCAGUGUGUCAGGGAAAUUUGCUAAUAUGUUUUAAGGUUAUGUUAGUUUUUAUUUUUUUAAAGUAAUACAUACCUGGAUAGUCAAUGAGGGUUCAAUGCAGGUUCAUGUGGGACUGCAAAUCUGGCCUAUUUUUUGAUGAAUCUUGCUUUCAAAAUCUUAUUGACGUGACCACCUUCCCUGCACAUGAUUAGUUUUACUGGCAUCUGGGGGUCAUACAUGGGUCUCUUCAACUACCUCCUUAACUCAGAACUCCAGAAGCCAGCGAGCUCCAGAGAGGCCGGUAUCGGGUCUUCCCAUGCCUGAGGCACCCUUAGGUCCAUUCCUGGCCUCAAGGGAAUAUGGUGGUUGGAGGGAAGAGUGGACACACCAACACCCAGGAGAGGGCCUGGCAUGAAGCAGAUGUCCAGUGGAGACAACUGUCAUCCAAACAACUGAAAGGCUACCUUUAAGAUACAAUGCUGGCCGGGCGCGGUGAGAGUUGUAUUUUUCU